CAAACUGAUUCAUACUGUAAUUCCUUCCCACACGUCCCCUGGUCGUCCUCCUCUUGGCAGUCAGCUGGCAGUUCAGUUUUAGUGAGUUUCUGCGGUUUGGUUGAUGCUCUCGCUCGGAAACCGGAUCAGCACUACAGUCCAGCUGAUCGCCGGAUCAAUGACUCUGAUCAGAGUGUGUUUACCUGGAAGUUCCCCACCAUGAUGAGCCCAGCAGCACAGAUCCAUGCGGUGGAGAGGCCGGCCGUGUUGAGGACACAGUUCUGGUGCUUCUCGAUCACGUGGGCGUAACGCAGCAGGCCGAUCAGCAUCACUGACAGAUGGGGGGGAGAGAGAGGACGACAUGUUUCAUCACGGGUUUGUGCACACACCACAGACUGUCUCACCUGUCGAGGGUUCAGGCGUCUUCCUGCUUUCUGACACGACCCCACGGCCCAGAAUCCAUUUGGAUCCACUGGAGGUGGGAGUGAGUCAGCGUUUCGAAGGUCAUAAGUAAGUGUCCAGGCAGCUUCAGUUUACUGUGACCCAAAAACCUCCGCCCCCCUGCACAUCCACGUGUCCACUCCCCCAAGACUGAUGGACUGGUCUGAAGUGGAGACCAGGAGCCUCACUGAUGCCGUCCGCCGUGAACGCACGCUACAGAAACACGCCAGCGGAGAAAGUGCUCUUUUUCCUUUCAGGGUUUUCCCAGGUUUCCCUCUGGGCGUCUGUGAGUAUUUAUUCACAAUCGGUGACUGAGUUUUGUGGCACAUUAACAGGAACAGAACGAGCCUCUGCACCGACCAUGUUUUUGUCUCUCUGGUUUGGCCUCAGUCUACACUGAGCUGGUGUUUUUCAGACCCAGGAACUGAGCUUAAAUCAAUACUGAACCCAGACUCCCUGUUUCAGUGUAGACGAGAGGAACAAGCUUUUGGAAAAUGAUGCAAACCACUGUUUUAUGCUUCAUCUGACGACAGAGAGAAUGACUAAAAUGGACGACUGGAGGUGCGUUAGCUGACCUGAAGCACUAAUGUGGACAUUGGACUCACUCUGACAAACAAACAUUGUGGUGUUCGCAAAGUCAGCGAGAUGCUAACUUUACAGUCCUCCACCCAAAACCAAAGAAAGAUUAGUUUAAACCAACAUUAAGAGCUUUUUAGCUAGAAACAAGCUUUAAACCUUUACUUAAACCUGCGAGAACUGAUUUUUUUUUUGGGCCAAGUCGAAAACAACUGACAAACCACCUUUUAAAGUGGACACAUUUUUGCUUAUUUACACAUUCGGUAUCACACGAUGUCAUAUGACCAACUGUUGUGAAAGCCCUGAUUAAAAAGUUUGAAGAAUUUUGCAUUUGUUGAUAACCGUUUGUGUGUGAGUGUGUGUGUGUGUGUGUGUGUGUGUGUGAGUGUGUGUGCUGUACCAGUUGUGCACGGGGCAGACGUGCUGGUUGUACAAGGCCAUCGCAUAUCUGUGAAGUUAAAGCAGAGAAGAAUCAGAGAACAGGACAGUCAGUUGAACAACAACAUGAUGCAAACAUUUGAGCCUUAAGACUUUAAUGUGGCCUGAACGAAAACUUUCACACAACAGCCACACCACCAAAACAUGUUUAUUAGAGUUUAGAAGAAACUAAACAAGCUGCACGAUGACAGAAGUCUGUUUCACCCACUGAAAUGGAGGACCUGAAAGCAUCGUGGACACGCGGUGAGAUGAACGCCAGUCCAGGCUUUAAACUACGGCAGAUUUUUUCACUGAGAAACCCGAGCGCCACAUGAAUUACCACAGCGCUGCCUUCACUGACCGAGGCCGCUCGUCUACGUCACGCGUGUGCGCAGAAGCUGCUGGCUGUAUUUUAA
Long non-coding RNA from Scatophagus argus, 1829 nucleotides. RefSeq lists it as uncharacterized. The record is from RefSeq and is a predicted model, not a curated record. The transcript has 3 exons. NCBI's taxonomy places the organism in Eukaryota, Metazoa, Chordata, Actinopteri, Scatophagidae.